CAGGCUUAACACAUGCAAGUCGAGGGGCAGCAUCAUCAAAGCUUGCUUUGAUGGAUGGCGACCGGCGCACGGGUGAGUAACACGUAUCCAACCUGCCGACAACACUGGGAUAGCCUUUCGAAAGAAAGAUUAAUACCGGAUGGCAUAGUUUUCCCGCAUGGGAUAAUUAUUAAAGAAUUUCGGUUGUCGAUGGGGAUGCGUUCCAUUAGGCAGUUGGCGGGGUAACGGCCCACCAAACCUACGAUGGAUAGGGGUUCUGAGAGGAAGGUCCCCCACAUUGGAACUGAGACACGGUCCAAACUCCUACGGGAGGCAGCAGUGAGGAAUAUUGGUCAAUGGACGAGAGUCUGAACCAGCCAAGUAGCGUGAAGGAUGACUGCCCUAUGGGUUGUAAACUUCUUUUAUACGGGAAUAAAGUGAGCCACGUGUGGCUUUUUGUAUGUACCGUAUGAAUAAGGAUCGGCUAACUCCGUGCCAGCAGCCGCGGUAAUACGGAGGAUUCGAGCGUUAUCCGGAUUUAUUGGGUUUAAAGGGAGCGUAAGCGGGUUGUUAAGUCAGUUGUGAAAGUUUGCGGCUCAACCGUAAAAUUGCAGUUGAUACUGGCGACCUUGAGUGCAACAGAGGUAGGCGGAAUUCGUGGUGUAGCGGAGAAAUGCUUAGAUAUCACGAAGAGCUCCGAUUGCGAAGGCAGCUUACUGGAUUGUAACUGACGCUGAUGCUCAAAAGUGUGGGUAUCAAACAGGAUUAGAUACCCUGGUAGUCCACACAGUAAAACGAUGAAUACUCGCUGUUUGGCGAUAUACAGUCAGCGGCCAAGCGAAAGCAUUAAGUAUUCCACCUGGGGAGUACGCCGGCAACGGUGAAACUCAAAGGAAUUGACGGGGGCCCGCACAAGCGGAGGAACAUGUGGUUUAAUUCGAUGAUACGCGAGGAACCUUACCCGGGCUUAAAUUGCAACUGACGGAACCGGAAACGGUUCUUUCUUCGGACAGUUGUGAAGGUGCUGCAUGGUUGUCGUCAGCUCGUGCCGUGAGGUGUCGGCUUAAGUGCCAUAACGAGCGCAACCCUUACGGGUAGUUACCAUCAGGUUAUGCUGGGGACUCUACCCGGACUGCCGUCGUAAGAUGUGAGGAAGGUGGGGAUGACGUCAAAUCAGCACGGCCCUUACGUCCGGGGCUACACACGUGUUACAAUGGGGGGUACAGAAGGCAGCUACACGGCGACGUGGUGCUAAUCCCAAAAGCCUCUCUCAGUUCGGAUUGGAGUCUGCAACCCGACUCCAUGAAGCUGGAUUCGCUAGUAAUCGCGCAUCAGCCACGGCGCGGUGAAUACGUUCCCGGGCCUUGUACACACCGCCCGUCAAGCCAUGAAAGCCGGGGGUACCUGAAGUACGUAACCGCGAGGAGCGUCCUAGGGUAAAACUGGUGAUUGGGGCUAAG
Molecule: ribosomal RNA, 1439 nt
Filed under: uncultured organism
Description: 16S ribosomal RNA
Rfam family: Bacterial small subunit ribosomal RNA
Source: RNAcentral